UGGCUGCCCAGGCACAGGCAGAUCUUCCACCUGCCCAGACCAAGCAGAAAGCCGGGUUGUUAGGGCCAUGAGCCACUGAGCUUCCUUCGUGCUGACGUUGACAUUGACGCCGACGCCGACACCGACGCUGACAUAGGGGGGCUUUUGCAUUCUGAUCCAGAGCACUCUGGUCGAGCCCACUGGACUUUUCCAUCAUACACUCCAAGAAGCACUCCUGGCUCAGGAGCAGGCUGGCUUUGAUCGCAGGGGAUCUGAGUGUGAAUCCUCUUCCAUCACAAUGUUCCUGUGUGGCUCUGCGCAGGGCACCUCACCUGUCUCAGCCUCACACCCUUCUACCCACCAAGGAUGGAGACAGGUUGAGAGGAUUGCUAAUCAAAACACCGAAAAUGCUCCACAAUCUGAAACUUCCUGAGCACUGACGUGACAUCAUAAGUGGAAAACUCUGUACCUGACCUCAGCUGACGCAUUGUGAUCUAUACACCGGUGCACGAAAAAUACUGCAUGAAGUUAUUUCGGGGCUACGUGCAACAGGUGCAGACGAUACAAAAAUGAGUUUUGUCUUUAGACUCGGGUCCCAAAUAUUUCCAAAUGUGAUGAAAGCCCACAUCCCAAACAUUUCUGGCCCCAAGCACUUCAGACAAAGGACACUCAAGCGGAACCCUAGUCCCAUCCCCAUGUGUUAUAUACGUGUGGUCCCAAUUUGCCACCUGUCCCACUGACCUCUCCCCCUGCUCCUGAGUCGGGCCACACUGCCUUCAUCAUUACACUGUGAUGUCAUGAUGUCAUGAUGACACAGCAGGGCCUGUGAGCUGGAGAGCGAGGCUGUCCACGUUCUCUCUCUUUCUGGAAUUGCUGCCCUACACAGAAGCCACGUCCCUGGGGUAGAGCAUCGGCCCCUUUCUUAGUCUCUGCCAGGCCCUUUCCUGAUCUUGCUCUCAGAGUCUCAUCUCUUGCAGCUCCUUCCGUGCCUUCUGCACUGUCCAUUCCGGAGGCUUCCAGAGUUAGCGGACCUCUCAGGGGCCAGGUUUCCCUGCCUAUGGGAUGGGCCCAGCAGACAGGACGCUCGGAGCAUCACUGCGGAGGAAGGGAACCAUUCAUGAGGAGGGCCCGCUUUAUGCUAGGAGAGGGACAGGAGAGGGCAAACAGCACAGCACCGUAAAUCGAAACUUCCCAGCUACACCCUGCAGCGACCCCCGAAGCGGGCAGAAUAAUUAAUUUUCCAAAGUCUUCAUUUAGAAAGGCAUUGACUCCUCAAUUGAAUUCCAUUUAUCCCCAAGUAGGAGAGGCCAUGCUCUAAGAAAACUCAAUAAAUGAAAACUACAACUCA
Long non-coding RNA from Chinchilla lanigera (long-tailed chinchilla), 1327 nucleotides. RefSeq lists it as uncharacterized. The record is from RefSeq and is a predicted model, not a curated record. The transcript is spliced from 4 exons. Lineage: Eukaryota; Metazoa; Chordata; Mammalia; Rodentia; Chinchillidae.